GGUUGAUAGGCCGGAUAUGGAAGCACGGUAACGUGUGGAGUUGACCGGUACUAAUAGGCCGAGGGCUUGUCCUCAGUUG
This 79-nucleotide ribosomal RNA is filed under the name Streptomyces sp. 13-12-16. Its description in RNAcentral is "partial 23S ribosomal RNA". It matches the Rfam family "Bacterial large subunit ribosomal RNA", at positions 2851 to 2925 of the family's 2925-position model. The record is from RNAcentral. RNAcentral also lists the same sequence under 1 other name. Lineage: Bacteria; Bacillati; Actinomycetota; Actinomycetes; Kitasatosporales; Streptomycetaceae.